GAUGAACGCUGGCGGCGUGCCUAAUACAUGCAAGUCGAGCGAACGGACGAGAAGCUUGCUUCUCUGAUGUUAGCGGCGGACGGGUGAGUAACACGUGGAUAACCUACCUAUAAGACUGGGAUAACUUCGGGAAACCGGAGCUAAUACCGGAUAAUAUUUUGAACCGCAUGGUUCAAAAGUGAAAGACGGUCUUGCUGUCACUUAUAGAUGGAUCCGCGCUGCAUUAGCUAGUUGGUAGGUAACGGCUUACCAAGGCAACGAUGCAUAGCCGACCUGAGAGGGUGAUCGGCCACACUGGAACUGAGACACGGUCCAGACUCCUACGGGAGGCAGCAGUAGGGAAUCUUCCGCAAUGGGCGAAAGCCUGACGGAGCGACGCCGCGUGAGUGAUGAAGGUCUUCGGAUCGUAAAACUCUGUUAUUAGGGAAGAACAUAUGUGUAAGUAACUGUGCACAUCUUGACGGUACCUAAUCAGAAAGCCACGGCUAACUACGUG
RNAcentral lists this ribosomal RNA (496 nucleotides) under uncultured bacterium. RNAcentral's name for it is "partial 16S ribosomal RNA". It matches the Rfam family "Bacterial small subunit ribosomal RNA", at positions 28 to 507 of the family's 1533-position model. The record is from RNAcentral.